Molecule: ribosomal RNA, 253 nt
Filed under: uncultured bacterium
Lineage: Bacteria
Description: partial 16S ribosomal RNA
Rfam family: Bacterial small subunit ribosomal RNA
Source: RNAcentral
AACGUAGGUGGCGAGCGUUAUCCGGAUUCACUGGGCGUAAAGCGCCUGCAGGCGGUCUUGUAAGUGGGGUGUGAAAUCUCCCGGCUCAACUGGGAGGGGUCGCUCCAUACUGCGGGACUGGAGGGCAGAAGAGGGAAGUGGAAUUCCCGGUGUAGUGGUGAAAUGCGUAGAGAUCGGGAGGAACACCAGUGGCGAAGGCGGCUUCCUGGUCUGCCCCUGACGCUAAGAGGCGAAAGCUAGGGGAGCGAACGGG